UGAGGAAUAUUGGUCAAUGGACGGAAGUCUGAACCAGCCAAGUCGCGUGAAGGAUGACUGCCCUAUGGGUUGUAAACUUCUUUUGUAUUGGGAGAAUAAGCCUUACGUGUAGGGUGAUGACUGUACAAUACGAAUAAGCAUCGGCUAACUCCGUGCCAGCAGCCGCGGUAAUACGGAGGAUGCGAGCGUUAUCCGGAUUUACUGGGUGUAAAGGGAGCGUAGACGGCUAUGCAAGUCUGAUGUGAAAACCCGGGGCUCAACCCCGGGACUGCAUUGGAAACUGUGUAGCUAGAGUGUCGGAGAGGUAAGUGGAAUUCCUAGUGUAGCGGUGAAAUGCUUAGAUAUCACGAAGAACUCCGAUUGCGAAGGCGGCUUACUGGGGUACAACUGACACUGAGGCACGAAAGUGUGGGUAUCAAACA
Molecule: ribosomal RNA, 422 nt
Filed under: uncultured bacterium
Lineage: Bacteria
Description: bacterial SSU rRNA
Rfam family: Bacterial small subunit ribosomal RNA
Source: RNAcentral